RNAcentral lists this ribosomal RNA (496 nucleotides) under uncultured bacterium. RNAcentral describes it as "partial 16S ribosomal RNA". It matches the Rfam family "Bacterial small subunit ribosomal RNA", at positions 29 to 507 of the family's 1533-position model. The record is from RNAcentral.
AUGAACGCUGGCGGCGUGCCUCAUACAUGCCAGUCGAGCGAACAGAUAAGGAGCUUGCUCCUUUGACGUUAGCGGCGGACGGGUGAGUAACACGUGGAUAACCUACCUAUAAGACUGGGAUAACUUCGGGAAACCGGAGCUAAUACCGGAUAACAUAUUGAACCGCAUGGUUCCAUAGUGAAAGGCGGCUUUGCUGUCACUUAUAGAUGGAUCCGCGCCGUAUUAGCUAGUUGGUAAGGUAACGGCUUACCAAGGCAACGAUACGUAGCCGACCUGAGAGGGUGAUCGGCCACACUGGAACUGAGACACGGUCCAGACUCCUACGGGAGGCAGCAGUAGGGAAUCUUCCGCAAUGGGCGAAAGCCUGACGGAGCAACGCCGCGUGAGUGAUGAAGGUCUUCGGAUCGUAAAACUCUGUUAUCAGGGAAGAACAAAUGUGUAAGUAACUGUGCACAUCUUGACGGUACCUGAUCAGAAAGCCACGGCUAACUACGUG